AUUGAACGCUGGCGGCAGGCCUAACACAUGCCAGUCGAGCGGAUGAAGGGAGCUUGCUCCUGGAUUCAGCGGCGGACGGGUGAGUAAUGCCUAGGAAUCUGCCUGGUAGUGGGGGAUAACGUCCGGAAACGGGCGCUAAUACCGCAUACGUCCUGAGGGAGAAAGUGGGGGAUCUUCGGACCUCACGCUAUCAGAUGAGCCUAGGUCGGAUUAGCUAGUUGGUGGGGUAAAGGCCUACCAAGGCGACGAUCCGUAACUGGUCUGAGAGGAUGAUCAGUCACACUGGAACUGAGACACGGUCCAGACUCCUACGGGAGGCAGCAGUGGGGAAUAUUGGACAAUGGGCGAAAGCCUGAUCCAGCCAUGCCGCGUGUGUGAAGAAGGUCUUCGGAUUGUAAAGCACUUUAAGUUGGGAGGAAGGGCAGUAAGUUAAUACCUUGCUGUUUCGACGUUACCAACAGAAUAAGCACCGGCUAACUUCGUG
Molecule: ribosomal RNA, 484 nt
Filed under: uncultured bacterium
Lineage: Bacteria
Description: partial 16S ribosomal RNA
Rfam family: Bacterial small subunit ribosomal RNA
Source: RNAcentral